UCCCUGGUGGCUCAGAUGGUAAAGAAUCUGCCUCUAAUGCAGGGGACCUGGGUUUGAUUCCCAGGUUGGGAA
RNAcentral lists this transfer RNA (72 nucleotides) under Ovis aries (sheep). It matches the Rfam family "tRNA". Rfam says of the family: Transfer RNA (tRNA) molecules are approximately 80 nucleotides in length. Their secondary structure includes four short double-helical elements and three loops (D, anti-codon, and T loops). Further hydrogen bonds mediate the characteristic L-shaped molecular structure. tRNAs have two regions of fundamental functional importance: the anti-codon, which is responsible for specific mRNA codon recognition, and the 3' end, to which the tRNAs corresponding amino acid is attached (by aminoacyl-tRNA synthetases). tRNAs cope with the degeneracy of the genetic code in two manners: having more than one tRNA (with a specific anti-codon) for a particular amino acid; and 'wobble' base-pairing, i.e. permitting non-standard base-pairing at the 3rd anti-codon position. The record is from Rfam by way of RNAcentral. Lineage: Eukaryota; Metazoa; Chordata; Mammalia; Artiodactyla; Bovidae.